UACGAAGGGGGCUAGCGUUGUUCGGAAUUACUGGGCGUAAAGCGCGCGCAGGCGGUCUUCCAAGUCAGUGGUGAAAGCCCGGAGCUCAACUCCGGAACUGCCAUUGAAACUGUUGGACUUGAGUACGAGAGAGGUGAGUGGAAUUCCCAGUGUAGAGGUGAAAUUCGUAGAUAUUGGGAAGAACACCGGUGGCGAAGGCGACUUACUGGACACAUAUUGACGCUGAGGUGCGAAAGCGUGGGGAGCAAACAGG
RNAcentral lists this ribosomal RNA (253 nucleotides) under uncultured bacterium. RNAcentral's name for it is "partial 16S ribosomal RNA". It matches the Rfam family "Bacterial small subunit ribosomal RNA", at positions 524 to 776 of the family's 1533-position model. The record is from RNAcentral.